GACGAACGCUGGCGGCGUGCUUAACACAUGCAAGUCGAACGGUGAAGCUCCAGCUUGCUGGAGUGGAUCAGUGGCGAACGGGUGAGUAACACGUGAGCAACCUGCCCCUGACUCUGGAAUAAGCGCUGGAAACGGCGUCUAAUACUGGAUACGAGAAGGGUCCGCAUGGGCACUUUCUGGAAAGUUUUUCGGUUGGGGAUGGGCUCGCGGCCUAUCAGCUUGUUGGUGAGGUAAUGGCUCACCAAGGCGACGACGGGUAGCCGGCCUGAGAGGGCGACCGGCCACACUGGGACUGAGACACGGCCCAGACUCCUACGGGAGGCAGCAGUGGGGAAUAUUGCACAAUGGGCGAGAGCCUGAUGCAGCGACGCCGCGUGAGGGAUGACGGCCUUCGGGUUGUAAACCUCUUUCAGCAGGGAAGAAGCGGAAGUGACGGUACCUGCAGAAGAAGCACCGGCUAACUACGUG
Molecule: ribosomal RNA, 468 nt
Filed under: uncultured bacterium
Lineage: Bacteria
Description: partial 16S ribosomal RNA
Rfam family: Bacterial small subunit ribosomal RNA
Source: RNAcentral